This 114-nucleotide non-coding RNA is filed under the name Flavobacterium sp. RNAcentral's name for it is "SAM-I sequence". It matches the Rfam family "SAM riboswitch aptamer (S box leader)". From Rfam's summary of the family: The SAM riboswitch is found upstream of a number of genes which code for proteins involved in methionine or cysteine biosynthesis in Gram-positive bacteria. The SAM riboswitch acts at the level of transcription termination control. The predicted structure consists of a complex stem-loop region followed by a single stem loop terminator region. Lineage: Bacteria; Pseudomonadati; Bacteroidota; Flavobacteriia; Flavobacteriales; Flavobacteriaceae. The record is from RNAcentral.
AAGUUAUCACGAAAGGCCGAGGGAAAGACCCAAUGAAACCUUAGCAACCCUUUGCCAUAAAGAAGGUGCUACAUUCUACUUAAUACAACAAAAUGUAUUCAAGAUAGAUAACGC